Molecule: ribosomal RNA, 464 nt
Filed under: uncultured bacterium
Lineage: Bacteria
Description: bacterial SSU rRNA
Rfam family: Bacterial small subunit ribosomal RNA
Source: RNAcentral
GCCAGACUCCUACGGGAGGCAGCAGUGAGGAAUAUUGGUCAAUGGGCGCGAGCCUGAACCAGCCAAGUAGCGUGAAGGAUGACUGCCCUACGGGUUGUAAACUUCUUUUAUAAAGGAAUAAAGUGAGGCACGUGUGCCUUUUUGUAUGUACUUUAUGAAUAAGGAUCGGCUAACUCCGUGCCAGCAGCCGCGGUAAUACGGAGGAUCCGAGCGUUAUCCGGAUUUAUUGGGUUUAAAGGGUGCGUAGGCGGGCUGUUAAGUCGGCGGUAAAAUGGCGGGGCUCAACCCCGGCCUGCCGUUGAAACUGCCGGCCUCGAGUGGGCGAGAAGUAUGCGGAAUGCGUGGUGUAGCGGUGAAAUGCAUAGAUAUCACGCAGAACUCCGAUUGCGAAGGCAGCAUGCCGGCUCCACACUGACGCUGAGGCACGAAAGCGUGGGUAUCGAACAGGAUUAGAUACCCCCGUA